GACGAACGCUGGCGGCGUGCUUAACACAUGCAAGUCGAACGGAAAGGCCCCUUUGGGGGUACUCGAGUGGCGAACGGGUGAGUAACACGUGAGUAACCUGCCCUUGACUUCGGGAUAACUUCAGGAAACUGGGGCUAAUACCGGAUAGGAAUCCUUGCUGCAUGGUGGGGGUUGGAAAGCUUCGGCGGUUUUGGAUGGACUCGCGGCUUAUCAGCUUGUUGGUGGGGUAGUGGCUUACCAAGGCUUUGACGGGUAGCCGGCCUGAGAGGGCGACCGGCCACAUUGAGACUGAGAUACGGCGCAGACUCCUACGGGAGGCAGCAGUGGGGAAUAUUACACAAUGGGCGGAAGCCUGAUGCAGCAACGCCGCGUGCGUGAUGACGGCCUUCGGGUUGGAAACCGCUUUCAGCAGGGGCGAAGCUUGUGGUGACGGUACCUGCAGAAGAAGCACCGGCUAACUACGUG
RNAcentral lists this ribosomal RNA (465 nucleotides) under uncultured bacterium. Its description in RNAcentral is "partial 16S ribosomal RNA". It matches the Rfam family "Bacterial small subunit ribosomal RNA", at positions 28 to 507 of the family's 1533-position model. The record is from RNAcentral.